GACGAACGCUGGCGGCGUGCUUAACACAUGCAAGUCGAACGAAGUGGCGGACGGGUGAGUAACGCGUAAUCAACCUGCCCUUCAGCGGGGAACAACAGUUGGAAACGACUGCUAAUACCGCAUACUGAAGGAGGGGAUUGCGUCGGAUUAGCUAGUUGGAGUGGUAACGGCCCACCAAGGCGAAGAUCAGUAGCCGGUCUGAGAGGAUGAACGGGCAAAUUGUGACUGAGACACGGGCCAGACUCCUACGGGAGGCAGCAGUGGGGAAUCUUCCGCAAUGGACGAAAGUCUGACGAAGCAACGCCGGGUGAGUGAUGACGGCCUUCGGGUUGUAAAGAUCUGUUAAUCGGGACGCGGUACCGGAAUAGAAAGCCACGGCUAACUACGUGCCAGCAGCCGCGGUAAUUC
Molecule: ribosomal RNA, 408 nt
Filed under: uncultured bacterium
Lineage: Bacteria
Description: partial 16S ribosomal RNA
Rfam family: Bacterial small subunit ribosomal RNA
Source: RNAcentral